This 261-nucleotide ribosomal RNA is filed under the name uncultured bacterium. RNAcentral's name for it is "partial 16S ribosomal RNA". It matches the Rfam family "Bacterial small subunit ribosomal RNA", at positions 793 to 1055 of the family's 1533-position model. The record is from RNAcentral.
GUCCGCACCGUAAACGAUGAUUACUCGUUGUUGGCAAUAUGAUCGUCAGCGACCAAGCGAAAGCGAUAAGUAAUCCACCUGGGGAGUACGCCGGCAACGGUGAAACUCAAAGGAAUUGACGGGGGGCCCGCACAAGCGGAGGAGCAUGUGGUUUAAUUCGAUGAUACGCGAGGAACCUUACCUGGGCUUGAAAGUUAGCGACCGGUCCUGAAAGGGAUCUUCCAGCAAUGGCGCGAAAACUAGGUGCUGCAUGGCUGUCGU